GACACAAAAGUGCUCUAAAGUAAGCUAAUGUUAACUGGGGUGGGCUGGGCCUGGCAGGAACCUGAUAGAAUUCAAGCCUGAUAGAAAACAGAGAAGAGGCCUAUAGUCCCAGGCCAUAGAGGUGCCUACAGAGUCCAUUCUGGCAAGUACAAGAAAAAUUCAUGGAAAUUCUUCUCAUGGGACUUGUGGACAAGUCUGCCAGUGCAGAUGGAGUUAAGAAGCAUAAUUCAAUUCUGCUCUUUGCUCCCUUAGACAUCAAAACAUGAUCACAUCUCCAUUCCUACUAGACCUACCUGUGCGAGUGUGAUGGAGUGGAGCGCGCCUGAUCUGCGUGGGUUCACCAAGUUAAACCCCUGGUGUCCACCCAAGUUCUCUGCCAGUGUUCCUGCCACCACAGCUUAGCCACAUGAGGCCGUAAAACAUGAUGACUCAGAUAAUACUGACCUAAACCCAUCCCUUCACACAUCAGCACUGGGAUACUCGUAGCAUGGCAUGCUCAUGUACACAGGUACCACAAAAACCAUGUUACUGACCCAAAAAUCAAAGCUAAAACCGCCCCAGAUGGCAGAAGAAACAACUAUGACCUUUGUGUGAAGUUCAGGAAACCAGAUUCCUAUGGGGUGAGUAGAAGUCUAAUGGGGACAUAUCCAGAAGAGACACCGUGUGGAAUAUAGAACUAUAAAGAUGAUGGAGGUUGGAAGGACAUGGGUAUCCAAGGAAGAGCAAGGCCAAUCUUUUCUGCUCCUCCAGACCUUUUAUUAAAUGUGUUUUAUACAAAUAAGUCUUUACAUAAAUGAACAUUACCUGACUUGAAUAACAGAGCUACAACUUUAGAAGAAUGUAAAAUGAGGAGUGGACAUGCUUGAAAAGCAGGUUUGGAAAGUCAAGUGGAAACAAAUUUUGGAAGAGUGCAAUAAGAGGGCUAAAGUUUAUGUGACAAAAUACUCCAAAAAGGAGAAUCAUGGACAUAAAAGUGUGAUUGUGAGCUCAGCCAAGAAUAAAGAUGCCUAUAAAUGAAAUAAAAUUCAGUCCCAAAAUAUACACAUUUUUUUCUCCCCAAACCAUGAUCAAAUAUUCUUUGAAGUUGACAUAAAAGUGAAUAAUAGCCUUAAACAUUGUGGGUCACUUCAUAAUAUUCAUCUUAAACAAUAGGGAAAUUCUUAGAGCUGAAGUGUUAGGAUGAGGAAUCAAGAUGUUGCUAUGGAAACCAUGUUCACAGCAGCCAUUACAACGAAGGAGACAACCAGAGAGACGGCAUCACGGAGACCUUUCUACCAGAAUUUGAACAAUGCAAUCCAAGUUCAACCC
This is a long non-coding RNA of Peromyscus eremicus (cactus mouse), 1308 nucleotides long. RefSeq lists it as uncharacterized. Lineage: Eukaryota; Metazoa; Chordata; Mammalia; Rodentia; Cricetidae. The transcript is spliced from 3 exons. The record is from RefSeq and is a predicted model, not a curated record.